AUAAAAAUUGAAAUAAACUCAUAUAUACUUGGGAUAUGGCCGAGAGUUUCUACGAACCACCGUAAAUGGUUUGCUAUGAGGAAUAGAUAUAA
This 92-nucleotide non-coding RNA is filed under the name uncultured Cetobacterium sp. RNAcentral's name for it is "Purine riboswitch". It matches the Rfam family "Purine riboswitch aptamer". Rfam says of the family: Riboswitches are metabolite binding domains within certain messenger RNAs that serve as precision sensors for their corresponding targets. The record is from RNAcentral. Lineage: Bacteria; Fusobacteriati; Fusobacteriota; Fusobacteriia; Fusobacteriales; Fusobacteriaceae.